UUUUCUGGGGGUAUCCAUGUCAGCAGCCUCGGGAUUCCAAGGCAUGGAAAGUCAGCUGGAAAUUCAGAGUGCCAGGAGGGAAGUCCAAACUUACUUUGCAGAAAGAAGAAGGUUCUGCUGUUUCACUGAUCUAAAAAGUCCUGUGCAUCCCUCAGUGGCUUCACCUUGCACUCAGGUUUUAGAAAUGUUUGCUGUCCUAAAUGAGCACCUUCUGUCAGAAAUUUCCAUAGACACAUCACUCUGAGGAAACAGUUGGGUGAGAUGAGCUCAGGUGAAAUCUGCUGCAAAGAUCCUACAGUCUUCAGCAGGCUUACAAGUGUAGAGGCUUGCAGGGUUGAUGCUUUAUCAUCUGUAGAGCACAUGAGAUUCAACAUGAACCCUGCUGCAGGUGACCCUGCUUGAGCAGGGGGUUCUUCCAACCUCGACCAUUCUCCAGUUCUGUGUUCCCUUGCUGCAUUGAGCUUUCUUUUCUUGGCUUUUCUAAAUAUAAUAAUUCUGUGUAGAGA
Vidua macroura (Pin-tailed whydah) is the source of this 506-nucleotide long non-coding RNA. RefSeq lists it as uncharacterized. The transcript has 4 exons. The record is from RefSeq and is a predicted model, not a curated record. NCBI's taxonomy places the organism in Eukaryota, Metazoa, Chordata, Aves, Passeriformes, Viduidae.